UACAGAGGUCUCAAGCGUUGUUCGGAUUCAUUGGGCGUAAAGGGUGCGUAGGCGGCGCGGUAAGUCGGGUGUGAAAUCUCGGAGCUCAACUCCAGAACUGCCUUUGAUACUGGCAAUCUCGAGUCCGGGAGAGGUGAGUGGAACUGCGAGUGUAGAGGUGAAAUUCGUAGAUAUUCGCAAGAACACCAGUGGCGAAGGCGGCUCACUGGCCCGGUACUGACGCUGAGGUGCGAAAGCGUGGGGAGCAAACAGG
RNAcentral lists this ribosomal RNA (253 nucleotides) under uncultured bacterium. RNAcentral describes it as "partial 16S ribosomal RNA". It matches the Rfam family "Bacterial small subunit ribosomal RNA", at positions 524 to 776 of the family's 1533-position model. The record is from RNAcentral.